RNAcentral lists this ribosomal RNA (403 nucleotides) under bacterium. RNAcentral describes it as "partial 16S ribosomal RNA". It matches the Rfam family "Bacterial small subunit ribosomal RNA", at positions 355 to 776 of the family's 1533-position model. The record is from RNAcentral.
UGGGGAAUUUUGCACAAUGGGGGAAACCCUGAUGCAGCGACGCCGCGUGAACGAAGAAGGUAUUCGUAUCGUAAAGUUCUGUCCUAUGGGAAGAUAAUGACAGUACCAUAGAAGAAAGCUCCGGCUAAAUACGUGCCAGCAGCCGCGGUAAUACGUAUGGAGCGAGCGUUGUCCGGAAUUAUUGGGCGUAAAGGGUAUGCAGGCGGUUUAAUAAGUCGAAUGUUAAAGAUCGGGGCUCAACCCCGCAAAGCAUUGGAAACUGAUAAACUUGAGUAGUGGAGAGGAAAGUGGAAUUCCUAGUGUAGUGGUGAAAUACGUAGAUAUUAGGAGGAAUACCAGUAGCGAAGGCGACUUUCUGGACACAAACUGACGCUGAGGUACGAAAGCGUGGGGAGCAAACAGG